AAACCAUGAUGUGGGAGGAGUCUCAUCAUAUCCUUAUAUCUCUACCAGGCCUCAAAAAGGGAUUCACCACCGGCUUGUCUAAAACAAGUUAUGUGGUUUCUUAAUAU
Lathyrus oleraceus (garden pea) is the source of this 107-nucleotide small nucleolar RNA. NCBI's taxonomy places the organism in Eukaryota, Viridiplantae, Streptophyta, Magnoliopsida, Fabales, Fabaceae. The record is from RefSeq and is a predicted model, not a curated record.